Molecule: ribosomal RNA, 1720 nt
Filed under: Samaris cristatus (cockatoo righteye flounder)
Lineage: Eukaryota; Metazoa; Chordata; Actinopteri; Pleuronectiformes; Samaridae
Description: 16S ribosomal RNA
Rfam family: Bacterial large subunit ribosomal RNA (bases 100-1608)
Source: RNAcentral
AGCCCAUAAGCUAGCUUAAACAAUAAACACAUCACAACCCUAUUAACUAAACCCUCAAACRUUAUACCUAAACAAUUAAAUCAUUUUCCUAUUCUCAGUAAGGGAGACUGAAAAGAAUAACUCACUAAAGCUACAGAUAAAGUACCGCAAGGGAAAGCUGAAAAAGAUAUGAAAUAGCCCAGUAAAGCCCAUAAAAGCAGAGACACCCCCUCGUACCUUUUGCAUCAUGAUUUAGCUAGUACCAUCAAGCAAAGCGUACUUUAGUUUGAUACCCCGAAACUGAGGGAGCUACUUCAAGACCGCCUAAAAAUAGGGCAAACCCUUCCCUGUGGCAAAAGGGUGGGAAGAUCUUCAAGUAGAGGUGACAAACCUAACGAACUCAGUUAUAGCUGGUUGCCCGAGAAUUGAAUGUAAGUUCAGCCUCUCAGCUCCUUCCUUCCUUAAUUAAAAUACUUCAGGGACCAAGGAACUAAGAGAGUUAUUCAAAAGAGGUACAGCUCUUUUGAAAAAAGACACAACUUUAUUUAGAAGGUUAAAAAUUAUAAUAUUUAAAGAAGCCCCUCUGAGUAGGCCUAGAAGCAGCCACCUCCAUAGAUAGCGUUAAAGCUUAAAGAAACAGCAACCUUAUAAUACUAAUAAGUAAAUUUGAUACCCCUAAAAAAUAUCGAGCCUCCCUAUACAUCAAAAUAUAGGAAAGACUAUGCUAAUAUGAGUAAUAAGAGAAUAAUAAUGCUUCUCUCCCAGCACAAGUGUAAAACGGAACGGACAUACCACCGAAAAUUAAACAGACCCACCAUAUAGAGGGAAAUGAGAAAAGCUUAAAAAUACAAGAAACCCCCUCAUAAUAACUAGCCUGUUGACCUCACACUAGAGUGCCCGCGGAAAGACUAAAAGGGAAGGAAGGAACUCGGCAAAUAAUCUCUUUUAAAGCUUCGCCUGUUUACCAAAAACAUCGCCUCUUGUCACCUAAAAAUAAGAGGUACUGCCUGCCCAGUGACCUAAAAGUUUAACGGCCGCGGUAUUCUGACCGUGCAAAGGUAGCGUAAUCACUUGUCCUUUAAAUGAAGACCUGUAUGAAUGGCGCCACGAAAGCUUAACUGUCUCCCUCCCCCAGUCAAUGAAAUUGAUCUCCCCGUGCAGAAGCGGGGAUAAAAACAUAAGACGAGAAGACCCUGUGGAGCUUUAGAUACUAAAUCCGGACCAUAUACAUGCCAACAAAUAAAUUAAGUGCAUAAAACAUAUCGUAACCGAAUUGAUAUCUUUGGUUGGGGCGACCAUGGGGAAAUAAAAAACCCCCAAGAGGAAAGAAGCACUACCCCUUUUACACCGCUUCCACAAAAAAGGUUAACAAACCUAAUUCACAAAACCUUUGACCUAUAAUGAUCCGGCAAAGCCGAUCAACGAACCGAGUUACCCCAGGGAUAACAGCGCAAUCCUCUUCAAGAGCCCCUAUCGACAAGAGGGUUUACGACCUCGAUGUUGGAUCAGGACAUCCUAAUAGUGCAGCCGCCAUUAAGGGUUCGUUUGUUCAACGAUUAAAGUCCUACGUGAUCUGAGUUCGGACCGGAGUAAUCCAGGUCAGUUUCUAUCUAUGAUAGUUUCUUUUCUAGUACGAAAGGACCGAAAAGAAAAGGCCUAUGCUAAAGCACGCCUAACCUUGAUACUAUUGAUGUUACUCAAAUAGAGACAAAUACUUAAUAUAGCUAUAGACAUAUAGCAU